AUGGGAAUCAGGGAGUCUUGGUUGGUGCAAUAUUGCUGCCAGUGCACAGUCGUUGUAGCGAUUGGCACCUGCUGUUCUUCGACCGUCAGCAACCCCCAUGACUGGAGUGCUGCAAUGACUGGCUAUGGGCUCUUCAGAAGGGACAGGCAGCACAGAAGGGGUGGUGGUGUGGCUCUCCAUAUUAGAGAGUGUUUUGAUGUUGUGGAACCUGAGACUGGAAAUAAGGUUGAGUCCCUAUGGGUUAGGAUCGGCGGGAAGGCCAACAAGGCAAGCAUCCUGGUAGGGGUCUGUUACAGACUGCCAAACCAGAAUGAGGAGAUGGAUGAGGAGUUCUACAGGCAUCUGGCAAACGUUGUGAAAUCAUCAGCUCUUGUUCUGAUGGGGGACUUCAACCUCCCAGAUGUAUUCUGGAAAUGCAAUACAUCUCAGAGCAAACAGUCUAGGAGGUUUCUGGAGAGCAUGGAAGAUAGUUUCCUGAUGCAGCUGGUUAGUGAGCCUGCCAGGGGAGGUGCCCCGCUAGACCUUCUGUUCACAAACAGAGAAGUACUGGUGGGAGAUGUGGUGGUCAGGAGCUGUUUUGGGCAGAGUGACCAUGAAAUAGUAGAGUUCUCAAUUCUUGGCGAAGUCAGGAGAAGGAUCAGUAAAACUGCUGUCUUGGGCUUCCAGAGGGCUGACUUUGAGGUGUUUAGGACCCUGGUUGGUAGAGUCGCUUGGGAGGCAGUUCUGAAGGGCAGAGGAGUCUUGGAAGGCUGGGCACUCCUCAAGAAGGAAAUCUUAAUGGCUCAGGAGCGGUCUGUCCCCAGGCGCCCAAAGAUGAGCCAGUGUGGAAGAAGACCGGCCUGGCUGAACAGAGAUUUGAGGCUAGAGCUUAGGAAAAAAAAAAAAAAGAGGGGUUGGGGUCUUUGGAAAAGAGGGGGGGCCACUCAGAAGAAUUAUAAGGGUGUUGUAAGGAUGUGCAGGGAAAAAAUUAGAAAGGCCAAAAGCUCAUCUGGAGCUGUCUGGCUACUACUGUUAAAGAUAAAAGGAAAUGUUUUUAUAAAUACAUUAACAUGA
RNAcentral lists this long non-coding RNA (1053 nucleotides) under Anas zonorhyncha (Eastern spot-billed duck). Its description in RNAcentral is "lncRNA (ENSAZOG00000002256.1)". The record is from RNAcentral. Lineage: Eukaryota; Metazoa; Chordata; Aves; Anseriformes; Anatidae.